UACAGAGCUGGGGCAUUAUUACUUCAGGUAUGAAGCGGGUGGACUGUGCGGGGCCCCCACAGAUUCGUAUUUUACUCUUAAUGUCCCCUUACACUGCAAUUCUAUCAGCUCCAUUUGAUAGAUAACUACUACAACUCAAUGACGUCACGUGAAAAUGAUCCCCCGAAAGAACGAUAAGGUGCACUGUAGGGGUUGGUAGAUUUUGCGUCAUCAGCGCUUCACAACCCGCGAUUAGAGAAUCGAAGGAGACGUUUCCCGGCAUGCUUUGUUGCAGUUACAAUUAAGACUCAAGUGAUUGUAGUGCAGCCAGUGUUAUGUAAUAUCAUGGCAUGGUUGCUUUAGCCACACACACUAUGUAUGUGUAGUUGUAACAAGAAGGCAUGGCUGUUACUGAGGGCAGCAAAAUACUCUAUUUGCCGAUGCCGCUAUUUGGACAGAUUUCAUGCUGAUAUCAAAACGGUCUCGCGGGCCAGGAGUUUGACAUGUCUGGCAUAAAGCAUUCAACAUAAAUUCCUCAUUAUUGAAGUUGGAUCCAUUAAGUAUAUUGAUUAUCUUCAUAAUUAACACGAACAGAGCAUGGGGAUUAAACUGUAUCGAAUCGUUAACGAAAUUUAGAACGAUGAACAGCCAAGGCACGAGACACAAUAAUAUUUCUGCAAAAUCAGGUCUCUUGUUUUAGUGGAAGUGUCAUACGUUUUCUAAAUAAUGGAUCAAAAGCAAAAACAGUAACUAGUACACAAUCGAUUUUCUUGCAACUGAUAGUCCGGCACCUCCUUUAAUCCGGGUCAAUUAUGAGGGGGCCUCAUAAUCACCGUGGCCGCCAGUCUUGUUCAUUGCGCGACUGUUGGUGGUAUUUGCACUUGAUAGGGCAGUCAACCAAGAUUUCGAGAGAUCCUCUGUUUAUUAGCUUCAACUUUUAGCUGUGGCUUCCACAGGAAAGACAACAGAGAGCAUCAAAUAGAUCGUGGUGUUUUGGUACGUAAACUAUGUGACACACGCACACACACACACACACACACACACACACACACACACACACAUGUAUAAGUGGUGGCGGUGGUGGUGGGAAUUUAGUAAACGGGGCAAAAUGAGUAACUUUUGAUUUCUCGUUGUUUCCACCCCACCUGUUUGAAAUCAUUGCAUUGCAAGUAUUGCAUCAUUAUUUCGUACUCGUGCACCAUCUUUAGGGGUAAAAAUCGGUCAGCAUAGUUUGGCGUUUUGUUUGGUGUUUCUUUAUUGAAGUGUCCACACGCAUAGGUUCUUUUAUAUGGAUGUGCAAUUUCCUGGUGGUAUUCCUUAUGUAGGAUACGGCACCUUUUACUGCAGACUACUUCGUAUAUCACAUCGGCCCUCGAUCACGUUCCGAUGUCGAUGAUGGGGCAGCUGGUUUAUGUGCACCCCACGAUACUGUUUGGGGUAUUUUUCUUCAACAGGACCUUCUUUGGGGAUGGACCGGUAUGCAAUCGGUGUGCACCAUCUGCACAGAAGUGCCAAACCCAGGAUUUUAAGGUUCCCUCAGUACCACCCAACGCAACAGGGGCAAUCUCAGAAUCACGGAGGCCCUUCUUAUUAACAAAUUAAGAGCAGCCAUUAACGAUAGGAAAGAACUACGCGAAGCAGAACAGUUGCACCAAGAAUACCCGUCUGCGCAUGUCACCUUCCUCCCCCGCCCCCGCACCUGAGCAACCAUUGUUCCAACGAUUUUUUCCAGUUGUUCCGGAAGAAGAAAAAGAAUCCGAAUUCGGAAAUAUAGAAAAAUACAAGGAAGCUACUUAACCUGACCAGUUGAUAUGGCCUUCUCUCAGCAACAGGAAGCUGGUGAAUCUUGUCAGAAGUAAAUCUCGGACCUCGGCGGCGCAAGACGAAGGUUGAAAUUUUCGUUCUUCAGAAUGCUACUUGUUCGUUUCAUAGUUGUUUGAGAAGUGGAAUUCUUUGAGAGUUCUGUCAAAAUGGCCAGCUGGAAACAAGGACAAAGAAGAAAAUAAGUUGAAUGUGAAAAAAAAUUAAAAAAUCGCCCAACACCAACAACAAAAGAAAUAUAAAAUGACAAUAAAGAUUCACAUGGCUGAAUAGUUUCAGGUUCAAUCCCACAGUAUGUCUGUUCUUUGAUUGUCACCUCUAUGUUUUUAGCCCCUUGUGGGCAAUAAAGAAAUUAAAAAUAGAAAAAA
Molecule: long non-coding RNA, 2168 nt
Organism: Octopus bimaculoides (California two-spot octopus)
Lineage: Eukaryota; Metazoa; Mollusca; Cephalopoda; Octopoda; Octopodidae
Source: RefSeq, a predicted model, not a curated record